AACUGCGAGUGAAGCGGGAAAAGCUCAAAUUUAAAAUCUGGCAGCUUUGCUGUCCGAGUUGUAAUCUAGAGAAGUGUUAUCCGCGCUGGACCGUGUACAAGUCUCCUGGAAUGGAGCGUCAUAGAGGGUGAGAAUCCCGUCUUUGACACGGACUACCAGGGCUUAUGUGAUGCGCUCUCAAAGAGUCGAGUUGUUUGGGAAUGCAGCUCUAAAUGGGUGGUAAAUUCCAUCUAAAGCUAAAUAUUGGCGAGAGACCGAUAGCGAACAAGUACCGUGAGGGAAAGAUGAAAAGAACUUUGGAAAGAGAGUUAAACAGUACGUGAAAUUGUUGAAAGGGAAACGCUUGAAGUCAGUCAUGUUGCCCAGGGAUCAACCUUGCUCUUUGCUUGGUGUACUUCUUGGAUCAACAGGUCAGCAUCAAUUUUGAUCAGUGGAUAAAGUUCAGAGGAAUGUGGCAUCUUCGGAUGUGUUAUAGCCUUUGUUCGUAUGCACUGGUUGGGAUUGAGGAACUCAGCAUGCCGCAAGGCCGGGUUUUUAACCACGUUCAUGCUUAGGAUGCUGGCAUAAUGGCUUUAAUCGACCCGUCUUGAAACACGGACCAAGGAGUCUAACAUGCAUGCGAGUGUUUGGGUGGAAAACCCGAGCGCACAAUGAAAGUGAAAAUUGAGAUCCCUGUYGUGGGGAGCAUCGAUGCCCGGACCAGACCUUUUGUGACGGAUCCGCGGUUGAGCAUGUAUGCUAGGACCCGAAAGAUGGUGAACUAUGCCUGAAUAGGGUGAAGCCAGAGGAAACUCUGGUGGAGGCUCGUAGCGAUUCUGACGUGCAAAUCGAUC
RNAcentral lists this ribosomal RNA (833 nucleotides) under Leucopaxillus eucalyptorum. Its description in RNAcentral is "eukaryotic LSU rRNA". It matches the Rfam family "Eukaryotic large subunit ribosomal RNA", at positions 85 to 903 of the family's 3401-position model. Lineage: Eukaryota; Fungi; Basidiomycota; Agaricomycetes; Agaricales; Tricholomataceae. The record is from RNAcentral.